CAAUUUAUAAUUUGGGGAUCGAAAUUUCUCCGCCAAAAUCAUUUUCCAAUAGCCCGCUAUUCCACAUUUUCUAAUUUCAUAAUGCCGCGCGAUUAAUCCCAAAAGCCCGCUAUCCAGAAAUUUCACGUUUUCAACUUUCAUGUUUUCAUUACUUUUGAGGAUACAAAGAAUCGGUUAUCUCAGUUUUCAAUUUCAUAGAUAGUGAUGAGCGAUAGGGCAAAAGUUAUAGAUUCCCCUCAUCACUUUCCUCUAUCUCUCUAACCAAAAGUUUAAAUUUGUGGUGACGGGCUCCCAACAAAGUGAAGCUUCCAGCCUCAUCUCACCGACCUUCUAGCCUUCUAGGUGUACAUCGUCGUCAAUUAAUUCUCCAGCACCAACACCUGUUGUUGGCUGUCACUAGUGAUGUUAAUUAAGAAUAUUCAAAACCGGCAAUUUGCAUCAAUUACACUCAUACUCUUCAAGAAAAUAUAGGGUUUUGAUUUCUCUAAUUAUCAAUCCUCGUCCAAGCUCGGUUUUUGAAGCCUGGGAAAUGCGUUAAGGUUUACCUGCCGCCGCCCUUGAUCGAUUACAUUGCUGCUGAGAAUGCUGAUAACCGAAGCCUAGUAGAUCUGAAACAAAAAUUUCUUUAUGAGUUUGCAGACAAGUCGAAGAUCUGGAAGCUCACUGAAAUCAAUAAAUCUCCAGUGCCGGUCACUAAGACUUCCUGAUAUUAUAUCAUCUAUGAGGAUGGAGCUGCCUCACUGGACUGAGAUUCUCAAGACUAGUAAACUCAAGGAACUCGCUCCAUAGGACCCUGACUGGUAUUACACCAUAGCUGGUAGGUGCAAAUUUUUCCCUGGAAGCUUCAUUUGCUUGUCCACUUUAGUAAUCAACUUUGUUGAUCCAUGGUUCCUUUCUGUUUCAACUUUGCAUAUUUUUGUCGAGUGAACGAGGAUUUGUAAAAUAUGAAAAUGCCUAACCUCAAUGGUAGUCGGUUUCUUGGAUAGGCUGUUUUAGCCGGAAAAGGCUGGGAUAUCUGUCUUUUUUUUAAUGUGAUAAUUUUUUUGAUCACUGUUACUUGUUCAUUUCUACGAAAGAGAUGGCAUUAUAAUGAUGAAUUUACAUAUUUUUAUUGUGUUUAUUUGUGAAUGGAUAUCUUAGUGAAGAAAACAAGAGGAGAUAGUGAUUAGAUGGAUAUUGUUGUAUUUAGAUUUUGACACAUAAUCCUUUUGUAAAGAUUAGGUGACUUACGGGUUGAUUAGCACGAAACCACAGUUCAACAUAUGAUGCAAGCCGUAUAUAAAGUGGUUUAAUCUGUAUGUAUAAUACAGACCUAGGUACUAGCGUAACUUGGAGGGAGUUGUUAUAGGCCAGGAGAAUUGAAGCUUUGAAGCUGAGUCUGGAGAUUUAAUAUGAAACACUGCUGUUUGGUUUAAUCUGCGAAGUUUGUUCUGCUGUUGUAUGUUCUCUUCAGCUGGCUUGGGUGUGUCUGAUCUGAUCCUGAGUUACAGAACUAGGCUGACGUGGUUGUGUUGUGCUGCUUCUGGUGCACUAUUGUUGUUCUGAUGUCCUUUUGGUACUGCUGUUCUGUUCUGCUCUAGGCUGCUCCUGUGUGCACUUUGUUGUUUUGCACAUUGAUGUUGGCCCAUUGCUGUUGUUAAAGCCUGAUGGUGACGUGUAUCUGAACAUCAUAUAUCAUGUGGUGCAAUCAGUUUGUACAAAGCUAUUUUAGACCAAUGUUUUGUUUUGGCCUUGGUAGUUCCUCAUUUUUUUGGGGGGGGGGGGGGGGGGGUCUUUGGGU
This is a long non-coding RNA of Spinacia oleracea (spinach), 1780 nucleotides long. RefSeq lists it as uncharacterized. The record is from RefSeq and is a predicted model, not a curated record. The transcript has 3 exons. Lineage: Eukaryota; Viridiplantae; Streptophyta; Magnoliopsida; Caryophyllales; Amaranthaceae.